This is a long non-coding RNA of Nematolebias whitei (Rio pearlfish), 252 nucleotides long. RefSeq lists it as uncharacterized. Lineage: Eukaryota; Metazoa; Chordata; Actinopteri; Cyprinodontiformes; Rivulidae. The record is from RefSeq and is a predicted model, not a curated record. The transcript is spliced from 3 exons.
UUCUGUUUGCUGCUGCGAGGUGUUCUUGGUUUCAGGGUUCAGACGUGAAGUGGAGUCGGCUUCUUCAACACUGAGGACUGUCUUAAACAGUAUUUCACAGAAUGUUGAGACCGUAAAAAGCAGCUAUGAGUCUACCAGCUGUAUGUAAAGGAAGACUUUCUUUGAAGAACACGAUCCAUGCAUUUGAACCAGAACCUGACUCCGAAUCCAACUUUCAGUUUGAACCUAGCUGUUUGUCCUUUAGGAGCAAUG